This 305-nucleotide ribosomal RNA is filed under the name uncultured bacterium. RNAcentral describes it as "bacterial SSU rRNA". It matches the Rfam family "Bacterial small subunit ribosomal RNA", at positions 335 to 657 of the family's 1533-position model. The record is from RNAcentral.
UUGUCUACGGGGGGCAGCAGUGGGGAAUAUUGCACAAUGGGCGCAAGCCUGAUGCAGCGACGCCGCGUGAGCGAAGAAGUAUUGCGGUAUGUAAAGCUCUAUCAGCAGGGAAGAAAAUGACGGUACCUGACUAAGAAGCUCCGGCUAACUACGUGCCAGCAGCCGCGGUAAUACGUAGGGAGCAAGCGUUAUCCGGAUUUAUUGGGUGUAAAGGGUGCGUAGACGGGAAAUUAAGUUAGUUGUGAAAUCCCUCGGCUCAACUGAGGAACUGCAACUAAAACUGAUUUUCUUGAGUGCAGGAGAGG